CGGUAAUUCCAGCUCCAAUAGCGUAUAUUUAAGUUGUUGCAGUUAAAAAGCUCGUAGUUGGACUUUGGGACGGGUCGGUCGGUCCGCCUCGCGGUGUGCACCGGUCGUCCCAUCCCUUCUGUCGGCGAUGCGUGCCUGGCCUUAACUGGCCGGGUCGUGCCUCCGGCGCUGUUACUUUGAAGAAAUUAGAGUGCUCAAAGCAAGCCCACGCUCUGGAUACAUUAGCAUGGGAUAACAUCACAGGAUUUCGGUCCUAUUGUGUUGGCCUUCGGGAUCGGAGUAAUGAUUAAGAGGGACAGUCGGGGGCAUUCGUAUUUCAUAGUCAGAGGUGAAAUUCUUGGAUUUAUGAAAGACGAACCACUGCGAAAGCAUUCGCCAAGGAUGUUUUCAUUAAUCAAGAACGAAAGUUGGGGGCUCGAAGACGAUCAGAUACCGUCCUAGUCUCAACCAUAAACGAUGCCGACCAGGGAUCGGCGGAUGUUGCUCUUAGGACUCCGCCGGCACCUUAUGAGAAAUCAAAGUCUUUGGGUUCCGGGGGGAGUAUGGUCGCAAGGCUGAAACUUAAAGGAAUUGACGGAAGGGCACCACCAGGAGUGGAGCCUGCGGCUUAAGUUGACUCAACACGGGGAAACUUACCAGGUCCAGACAUAGCAAGGAUUUGACAGACUGAGAGCUCUUUCUUGAUUCUAUGGG
This 693-nucleotide ribosomal RNA is filed under the name uncultured organism. Its description in RNAcentral is "SSU rRNA". It matches the Rfam family "Eukaryotic small subunit ribosomal RNA", at positions 577 to 1274 of the family's 1831-position model. The record is from RNAcentral.